This 430-nucleotide ribosomal RNA is filed under the name uncultured bacterium. RNAcentral describes it as "bacterial SSU rRNA". It matches the Rfam family "Bacterial small subunit ribosomal RNA", at positions 960 to 1391 of the family's 1533-position model. The record is from RNAcentral.
CGCGAAGAACCUUACCAGGUCUUGACAUCUAGUGCCAUUUGUAGAGAUACAAAGUCCCCUUCGGGGACGCUAAGACAGGUGGUGCAUGGCUGUCGUCAGCUCGUGUCGUGAGAUGUUGGGUUAAGUCCCGCAACGAGCGCAACCCUUGUUAUUAGUUGCCAGCAUUAAGUUGGGCACUCUAAUGAGACUGCCGGUGACAAACCGGAGGAAGGUGGGGAUGACGUCAAGUCAUCAUGCCCCUUAUGACCUGGGCUACACACGUGCUACAAUGGGCAGUACAACGAGAAGCGAGCCUGCGAAGGCAAGCGAAUCUCUGAAAGCUGUUCUCAGUUCGGACUGCAGUCUGCAACUCGACUGCACGAAGCUGGAAUCGUUGGUAAUCGCGGAUCAGCACGCCGCGGUGAAUACGUUCCCGGGUCUUGUACACACC